This 657-nucleotide ribosomal RNA is filed under the name Triticum aestivum (bread wheat). RNAcentral's name for it is "partial small subunit ribosomal RNA". Lineage: Eukaryota; Viridiplantae; Streptophyta; Magnoliopsida; Poales; Poaceae. The record is from RNAcentral.
AUGCAUAACAAACCCAUCGCGACCGGAGGGCGAAACAAACUAGCCAGCAGCAUACGGGAGAGAACUACUCAACCAACCCUAACAAAGAAACAGCAAGAGAUCCGCCGGUCGACGACGCGUCGCCAUCAUCGUCAGGCGCGGAAGCAGCCGACGAAGCGCGGCAGAUGUAUGUGGCCGUGGCCGUGGGCGGUGGCGGCGCCGCAGUCGAGGUCGACGAGCUGGUGGCCGUGCGCGCCGAGGUCGCGGUCGAUGAGGCGCUCGACGUGGACGAAGCGGUCGACCCGGCAGGGGAUGGCGAUGGCGCCCUGGUGCCUGAAGCCGUACUCGCGCUCGGCCUCGUCGAGCAGCGCCCCGAAGAGCGGGUGCUUGAGGUGGUCGAGCGGCACGGCGAAGCGGCGCUGCUCCUCCCCCUCCGCCCCCACGCGCACCGUCACGCACCCCUUGGGCGCCACCAUAUCCGCCCUCUGGUGGUGCUGCUGCUGCUGCCUGAGGUGCAUCGGAGGCGAGGACCGGACGAGUCUUGUGGCUGUUGCGAGGAAGGAGGAGAGGGGGGAGGGAGAUCGGACGGCGGAGCUCGAGAGGGGGAUGGAGGGGUUUGGGGUUAGGAAGAGAAGGGCCAGGGGUCGGAGCUGGAGAUGGCGAGGCGGAAGACGGUGA